AUUGAACGCUGGCGGCAUGCCUUACACAUGCAAGUCGAACGGUAGAGUAGCAAUACUUGAGAGUGGCGAACGGGUGAGUAAUAUAUCGGAACGUGCCCAGUCGUGGGGGGAUAACGUAGAGAAAUUUACGCUAAUACCGCAUACGAUCUAAGGAUGAAAGCGGGGGAUUCGCAAGAACCUCGCGCGAUUGGAGCGGCUGAUAUCAGAUUAGGUUGUUGGUGAGGUAAAAGCUCACCAAGCCGACGAUCUGUAGCUGGUUUGAGAGAACGACCAGCCACACUGGGACUGAGACACGGCCCAGACUCCUACGGGAGGCAGCAGUGGGGAAUUUUGGACAAUGGCGAAAGCCUGAUCCAGCCAUGCCGCGUGCAGGAAGACGGUCCUAAUGGGAUUGUAAACUGCUUUUAUAC
Molecule: ribosomal RNA, 410 nt
Filed under: uncultured bacterium
Lineage: Bacteria
Description: bacterial SSU rRNA
Rfam family: Bacterial small subunit ribosomal RNA
Source: RNAcentral